AGACUAUUAUGACUUCACUUGCAAAAUUACGUUCUAUUUGACUUUGGCAGUCCCCAAUAGCUACUGACGCACUACGUUUUAACAACAUCCACGCGGCAGUUAAAGGGUUAAAUCACAAAAGCUCCAGUCUCUUGCCGAGUUAGAGUGUCCUCUGGUGUCCUCGUUAUCAGCCUGAAACUUGCCGAGAUUGCGUGAUCUCCUCCAAUCAGGACCAUGACGACCCGAGCGGUGCUGGUCUUCACGCUGGCUCUAUCGAAUCGAGUGAACUCCCAGUGCAUUUCACAGAACGACUGGCUGGCCUCCGCCCGCUACCCCGCACCUCGGCCACAUCACGCCCUUUAGCACCCGGCUCUUCAGGGAGAUUGUCCCUCCGUCAGGAAACUUCUUCUUCUCGCCCUUCGGCAUCUGGAGGGCCUUUGUCCUGACGUAUUUCGGGUCGAGUGGCAACACGCAGCUGCAACUAGAGCAGGUUCUCCGGCUGAACGGCAAAGCACAGACUCUGGCUUUGCACAAGGCACUGACUAACCAUUACAACUCGCCACACGCCGCCUCGAGUUACAUCAUCGCCAACAGGAUCUAUAUAGACUACUAUUUGCCAGUUCGUGGAUGCGUGACAAGUCUUUUCUCCACGGAAUUGCAGGCUUUGGACUUCCUGCAG
RNAcentral lists this long non-coding RNA (658 nucleotides) under Penaeus japonicus. RNAcentral's name for it is "uncharacterized LOC122243557". The record is from RNAcentral. Lineage: Eukaryota; Metazoa; Arthropoda; Malacostraca; Decapoda; Penaeidae.